AUGAUUUGGCGCGAGGUACCGGUUUAAAUCCAAAUUCCAUUUGCUCGUCGUCCCGGAGAUUGCGGCUCAUGGGUGCAUAACUACAAAAGACGCCACGGGUUUAAUAAGGAAGUUGCACCUUGACCUGCGUUUAACCUGCGUUUUUACACGUGACAUGUGAACGGCCACGGGCCGUCGCAAUGUAUAUUGAAAUAUCGGAAAUGCGUUUAGAAACUAUAUCACAGUUACCGAAAAAAUUUAUACCGCGAGAUAUAUUGAUAUUGAAUUAUUGUCCAGCCCUACGGUUAGUACACCAUGGUGACAGAGGUGGUUUCCUGUGGACUGUGCCUCAAGGCUGCCAGGGGUGGAGCAAGUGGUCCCAUGGGUCGGUGGCGAGGCUCAUCGGGCCAGGUUUCCGGCUGUGCUGAUGGUUGACCGUAAAGCGUGGGGUGGACAAAACUGUGAUUCACCUCCUGUGUGACCGCACAGAGGGGAACACCGUAAUUAAGGUGCACAUUUUUUGUUUGGAUAAAAGCUCACAGAAACUAAAACCAGAUGUAUGCAGCUUUGCCAGGCGUGGAGCACCACCGUAAACCAGCUAAGACCACUCUUCUAAGCUUUCAGCCUGGUAAAGCUGGUUUUUCGAUCUGAACAGCUAAAAGUGGACUCUAAAAACCUCUCUAAAACCAGCCUGCUACACCAGCUAAAACCAAACUGGGAGACCAGGUCAACUUAGGUCCACGUGCUCAUCUCCACUCAAACCUUUGCAGAGAAAUGAAACAAUAACUGCAUGAUUGAUCUACAGUCGCCACCUGCUGGUGAUAAAAAUGAAUAGCAUUAAUAGAAAGUAUGACUUCAACAUAUUUUUGGUGGUAUGGUACAGUGCUUUAUAUAGAUUAAUGGUAUAUGGUACAGUCUUCUUUAGCUUAAAGGUAAAUAUAACAGUGAAUGAAGAUAAUUCUUAAACUGUGUGUAGAUGUUCAAUAAAGUUUAGAGUAUCAGUGAA
This is a long non-coding RNA of Paramisgurnus dabryanus, 985 nucleotides long. RefSeq lists it as uncharacterized. The record is from RefSeq and is a predicted model, not a curated record. Lineage: Eukaryota; Metazoa; Chordata; Actinopteri; Cypriniformes; Cobitidae.